UACGUAGGGUGCGAGCGUUGUCCGGAAUUACUGGGCGUAAAGCGUGCGCAGGCGGUUCGUUGUGUCGGCGGGGAAAUCCCCGGGCUUAACCUGGGAAUGGCCAUGGAAACUGGCGAACUGGAGUGUGGCAGAGGGGGGUGGAAUUCCGCGUGUAGCAGUGAAAUGCGUAGAGAUCAGCAGGAAUACCCGUGGCGAAGGCGGCCCCCUGGGCCGAACCUGACGCUGAGGCGCGAAGGCUAGGGGAGCGAACGGG
This 253-nucleotide ribosomal RNA is filed under the name uncultured bacterium. RNAcentral's name for it is "partial 16S ribosomal RNA". It matches the Rfam family "Bacterial small subunit ribosomal RNA", at positions 524 to 776 of the family's 1533-position model. The record is from RNAcentral.